RNAcentral lists this unclassified non-coding RNA (438 nucleotides) under Hevea brasiliensis (rubber tree). The record is from RNAcentral. Lineage: Eukaryota; Viridiplantae; Streptophyta; Magnoliopsida; Malpighiales; Euphorbiaceae.
GGCUGAGAUAGAUCUUUUGCAUGAUCUUGCAGCCUAUAGAUAAUCUGAUGGUGUAACGUAGCCAUCAUAGAGGAUGUGACUUGCGUUGCACCAGUAAGUUGGAUUUGGACUUUUAAGGCGGUGCUGAGAUGUGGAUCUCUGAGUGAGAGAUUGUAGUUCGGGAAGAAUGUCAAUACUAUGCUUCCAGCAUGCAAGGUGGUAUGGCACGUCCCUAUCACCGCAUGUUCAUACUGUAAGAACCUUGUGUCAAGAAGAGACACUCUUGCUGUUACUGGAAGUCCUCGUCUUCCAUGUAGACUGAGGAUAAGUCUAACAGCUCCAAAGAGGAGGUGAGAAAAUCCUUCUUGUUUCCAUCUGGGAAUGAGCUAAGGAGGGAUUUCUAAGGUCACAUACUGUUCAGCAGAUGAACUCUGAAGAGAGCAUUGAUCCAUUCUGGAG